GAUGAACGCUAGCGGCAGGCUUAAUACAUGCAAGUCGAGGGGCAGCAUGGUGUAGCAAUACACUGAUGGCGACCGGCAAACGGGUGCGGAACACGUACGCAACCUUCCCAAAACUGGUGAAUAGCCCUCCGAAAGGAGGAUUAAUACACCGUAACAUAAUGAAGUGGCAUCAUUUUAUUAUUAUAGCUCCGGCGGUUUUGGAUGGGCGUGCGACUGAUUAGGUAGUUGGCGGGGUAACGGCCCACCAAGCCUGCGAUCAGUAACUGGUGUGAGAGCACGACCAGUCACACGGGCACUGAGACACGGGCCCGACUCCUACGGGAGGCAGCAGUAAGGAAUAUUGGUCAAUGGACGAAAGUCUGAACCAGCCAUGCCGCGUGAAGGAUGAAGGCCCUCUGGGUUGUAAACUUCUUUUAUAGGGGACGAAAAAAGGGAAU
This 437-nucleotide ribosomal RNA is filed under the name uncultured bacterium. RNAcentral describes it as "bacterial SSU rRNA". It matches the Rfam family "Bacterial small subunit ribosomal RNA", at positions 28 to 459 of the family's 1533-position model. The record is from RNAcentral.